AGGGCACCACCAGGAGUGGAGCCUGCGGCUUAAUUUGACUCAACACGGGAAAACUUACCUGGUCCUGACACUAGAAGGAUUGACAGAUUGAUAGCUCUUUCUUGAUUUGGUGGAUGGUGGUGCAUGGCCGUUCUUAGUUGGUGGAGUGAUUUGUCUGGUUAAUUCCGAUAACGAACGAGACUCUAGCCUAUUAAAUAACACACAGAAUCUUGUCUUCUGUGGCGUUUCUUAAUGGGAUCAAGUGUGUUUAACGCUUUGAAACAGAGCAAUAACAGGUCUGUGAUGCCCUUAGAUGUUCGGGGCCGCACGCGCGCUACAUUGAGAGACAAAAUGAGUUUUCUAGUCUUUAAUAAGGCUAGUAAUCUUUGAAUGUUUUUCUUAAUGGGGAUAGGGGAUUGCAAUUGUGCCCCUUGAACGAGGAAUUCCCAGUAAGUGCUAGUCAUUAGCUAGUACUGAUUACGUCCCCGCCCUUUGUACACACCGCCCGUCGCUACUACCGAUUGGAUGACUUAGUGAGGU
RNAcentral lists this ribosomal RNA (519 nucleotides) under uncultured eukaryote. RNAcentral's name for it is "SSU rRNA". It matches the Rfam family "Eukaryotic small subunit ribosomal RNA", at positions 1161 to 1707 of the family's 1831-position model. The record is from RNAcentral.